AAACAUAUGAGGAAAACGGUGUAGGUGGUAAAAUUUAAUCCAGCUUUUUAAAACAGUAUUUUAACUGUCGCAAAUGAUUUUAAUUAAGUGACAAUCAAGGAUUAUGUUUGAUUAAUGCCAAUCAGUAUUAGUUAACAAGUCUCGUGUUAACUCUCCUACUUGUGACAGAUUUGCGUUUUGAACUGCAAGGAUGAACAUUUAUACUUCUUUAACCAUAUCCGGUGAACGCGUUUUGCAUUAAAAUUACUAGUUACAUCUAACUCACAUGCUUGUUUUUACUGGUCGUUUCUUGCCCAAUUGAUUGCAAUAAUACAUCAAUUUUUUCCCGAAUGAUUGAACAUUGAAUUUGAUUUUUGAUGACAAGAUUGAAGCAGAAACCCAAAUAAGCAAAGAAGUAUCCAUAAUUUGACUAACCAUUACACCAAUUUAAAGAUUAAAAGCUGUACACAAUGGAAAAAUCAAAGUUGAACAAGGCACAAAAGUGGUCAAUUGAUAUGAACAAGUUGAACUUGAAAAUUGAACGCAAGUUAUGGCUGUGCGGGUGUAAAAAGAGCAUGAGAGACUUGAAAUGAUGAUGAUGAUGAUAUGGAAUCACAGUUUUCAUACAAAAGAAAUAUUUCUUGGAGAAAGAAAAAGAUUCUCUAAUAAUAUUACAUGAAAAACGUUUUUUUACAACCCCAACAUCAAUUCUGUUCAAAUUGUCGAAGCAUAACUUCAACCAUCCUGGAACCGGGGCUUUGAUGUUCAAGCCUGAGUACCUAUGAGAAAGAGAAAGAAGGAGAAAGAGAAGAUGAUCUUCACAAAAACGAAAUAGAGAGGAAAGAUGAUUAGGGGAGAGAGAGAAAGAGACUUGGAUGAUUUGGAAAGACAUCGUUAAUAUCUCGUAUCCUCAUUUACCUCAUCCACCUUCCAACAACCUGUUGUUACCUUUGUUGUUUUUUCAUACUUGAUUCGCAUCAUCAUCAUCAUCAUCUCUUCUCAUCUUCUUCAUCAUCAACAUUUUCAUCUUAUUCAUCUUUUUUCUGCUCUCAACCUCACUUUACUUCUUCAACUCAACUUUAAAGUUUUAUUUUUUGUUCACAUUGUUCUAACUUUUGUUUCAAUUUUUUGUUAAAAAAUUUGUUUUAAUUUUGUUUUCUCUUUUUUUCCUCUUCUUUUUAUGUUUUCCACCGUUUGAUUGUUUUAAAAUUUUUGUUCCAUUAUUUUUCAUCAAUCUGUUUCUCUCUAUGGCACUGGAAGAAUUCACGGGGACUCAAUGUUAUUCCGUGGUUUCUCUAGUGCUGUGAAGAGCAGCGGGCAAGUUUCAUCAAGAAAUACAUUAGUUUACCAAAAAAUGAUCAAGUUGAAACUGUUUCAAUUCGUCCAAGAAAGAGACCAGCAAAGAAGCCAAUAAUCAAGAGAUUUUUUUUCUGUCUAACCAACACCGCCACCAACUAUCAAAAUGCAGUAAAUUAAUUUCACUUUCAUCAACGAAACAUGAAACAGAGCAAAAAGAAGAAAGAAAAUUAUGCUUUUUUAUAUUCUACGCCGAUUUAUUCUUCUUCUUAUUCUUCAUUGUACAAACCUGUUUUCUUCCAACUUCUAUUCCUUCUCUCCUCUUCUCUUACCUUACCUUUUAUUCGCCUUCUUCUUCUGCCGUGUCCUUCAGGUGACUACAAUUAGUUUUAUGUUUUACCUAUUGUUAGUUCAUUAUAUACUUUGCUUACCUUUUUUGUUCAUCUCUCCGUCAUCUUCCACUCUCAUACUCACUAUCCUUCUCUCUCUCUCUCUCUCUCUCUUCCUUAUCACCAUCAACAUCAAUCUGCUAGAAAAUAUUAUUCAUCUCGUAAUCUUCAACCAAUCUGAACCUUUAUCCUUGGCACUGGAAGAAUUCACCGUUGAUUAGUUAAAAAACUCGUGGGUUCUUGGGUGCCAAAGACUAAGGAUAAGAAUUCAAGAUUAUAAUCAUUUCGAUACGAAUAACUUGAAGUUAAAUUGGUUGAAAAUGAAUCCUUUUUGCCUCUGUUGAAGGAUACAAUUAAAUUGAAACAAUUGAAUACACACUCACACAAAAAACGCAAGUAACAAGCAAAAAUAAUGCAACAGAAGAAGCAACAAAUGCAGAAAAGAUCAAGAUUUAACUUUCCUUUUCUCUCUCCUGUUCCUUUAUCGUCAAUGAUUCAAUACAAAUACACACACACACACAAUUCAAACUUUAUUAAAUUCAUUCCAAGGUCUGUAUGUAUUUAUUUGCCAUUAUUUAUUUUUGCUAUGUGUCUCAAUUACAACCACAACGUUGAACUCAGAAUUGAAAAGCACAAUUAAUCUAACCUUUUUUUAUUUCAUUGUAGCUUUUUUUUCACCGAAAACACAUGUAUUCCAACAUCUUUAUCUUCCUUCCUUUUGUAUUUUUUUCAUCUCUUUUUUUCUCCUUUUCCUCCUUUUUUCUCUCUAGACCUUUAACACCGAUUCCACCGCAACCAGCCAACCUCACAGACGUUUAAACUACACACAUACAUGCAUAAUUCAACCUGAAUCAAUACAAGCUUUUUAUCACCAUUACCUUGAAACGAUUGGGUAAACACAAGCAUUAUUAUUAUGACAAGGUU
Molecule: non-coding RNA, 2588 nt
Organism: Tetranychus urticae (two-spotted spider mite)
Lineage: Eukaryota; Metazoa; Arthropoda; Arachnida; Trombidiformes; Tetranychidae
Source: RefSeq, a predicted model, not a curated record